UGCCAGCCGCCGCGGUAAUACGAAGGUGGCGAGCGUUGUUCGGAUUUACUGGGCGUAAAGAGCACGUAGGCGGUUAAGUAAGCCUCUUGGGAAAGCUCCCGGCUCAACCGGGAAAGGUCGAGGGGAACUACUUAGCUAGAGGGCGGGAGAGGAGCGCGGAAUUCCCGGUGUAGCGGUGAAAUGCGUAGAUAUCGGGAAGAAGGCCGGUGGCGAAGGCGGCGCUCUGGAACGUACCUGACGCUGAGGUGCGAAAGCUAGGGUAGCGAACGGGAUUAGAUA
RNAcentral lists this ribosomal RNA (279 nucleotides) under uncultured bacterium. RNAcentral's name for it is "partial 16S ribosomal RNA". It matches the Rfam family "Bacterial small subunit ribosomal RNA", at positions 506 to 784 of the family's 1533-position model. The record is from RNAcentral.